Molecule: non-coding RNA, 88 nt
Organism: Tricholoma furcatifolium
Lineage: Eukaryota; Fungi; Basidiomycota; Agaricomycetes; Agaricales; Tricholomataceae
Source: the annotation of a GenBank genome assembly
GGCCCGGAAGAUGUGGCGAAAUGGCAUCGCGUCUGACUACGAUGCAAAUGUAAUCAGGAGAUUGCAGGUUCGACCCCUGUCUCGGUCA